CUUAGUGGCGGACGGGUGAGUAACGCGUGGGUAACCUGCCUCACACUGGGGGAUAACAGUUAGAAAUAGCUGCUAAUACCGCAUAAGCGCACGGUUCCGCAUGGAACAGUGUGAAAAACUCCGGUGGUGUGAGAUGGACCCGCGUCUGAUUAGCCAGUUGGCGGGGUAACGGCCCACCAAAGCGACGAUCAGUAGUCGGCCUGAGAGGGUGAACGGCCACAUUGGGACUGAGACACGGCCCAAACUCCUACGGGAGGCAGCAUG
Molecule: ribosomal RNA, 264 nt
Filed under: uncultured bacterium
Lineage: Bacteria
Description: partial 16S ribosomal RNA
Rfam family: Bacterial small subunit ribosomal RNA
Source: RNAcentral